Molecule: transfer RNA, 73 nt
Filed under: Planococcus salinarum
Lineage: Bacteria; Bacillati; Bacillota; Bacilli; Caryophanales; Caryophanaceae
Description: tRNA-Val
Rfam family: tRNA
About the family: Transfer RNA (tRNA) molecules are approximately 80 nucleotides in length. Their secondary structure includes four short double-helical elements and three loops (D, anti-codon, and T loops). Further hydrogen bonds mediate the characteristic L-shaped molecular structure. tRNAs have two regions of fundamental functional importance: the anti-codon, which is responsible for specific mRNA codon recognition, and the 3' end, to which the tRNAs corresponding amino acid is attached (by aminoacyl-tRNA synthetases). tRNAs cope with the degeneracy of the genetic code in two manners: having more than one tRNA (with a specific anti-codon) for a particular amino acid; and 'wobble' base-pairing, i.e. permitting non-standard base-pairing at the 3rd anti-codon position.
Source: RNAcentral
GGAGGAUUAGCUCAGCUGGGAGAGCAUCUGCCUUACAAGCAGGGUCGCGGUUCGAUCCCGUCAUCCUCCACCA